RNAcentral lists this ribosomal RNA (497 nucleotides) under uncultured bacterium. RNAcentral describes it as "bacterial SSU rRNA". It matches the Rfam family "Bacterial small subunit ribosomal RNA", at positions 8 to 518 of the family's 1533-position model. The record is from RNAcentral.
AGAGUUUGAUUAUGGCUCAGGAUGAACGCUAGCGGCAGGCCUAAUACAUGCAAGUCGGACGGUAAAUGCCCCUUCGGGGGCAUGAGAGUGGCGGACGGGUGCGUAACGCGUAUGCAACCAACCCCGACCAGGCGGACAGCCGGUGGAAACGCCGGAUAAGACGCCAUGCGGCCAUGCGGGGGCAUCCCUGUGUGGUCAAAGCGGAGACGCGGGACGGGACGGGCAUGCGUGCCAUUAGAUAGUCGGCGGGGUGACGGCCCACCGAGUCGACGAUGGCUAGGGGAUCUGAGAGGACGGUCCCCCACACUGGUACUGAGACACGGACCAGACUCCUGCGGGAGGCAGCAGUGGGGGAUAUUGCACAAUGGGCGAAAGCCUGAAUGCAGCAACGCCGCGUGAGGGAAGACGGUUUUCGGAUUGUAAACCUCUGUCUUUGGUGACGAAGAAAUGACGGUAGCCGAGGAGGAAGCCACGGCUAACUACGUGCCAGCCGCCGC